Long non-coding RNA from Chiroxiphia lanceolata (lance-tailed manakin), 971 nucleotides. RefSeq lists it as uncharacterized. The transcript has 2 exons. The record is from RefSeq and is a predicted model, not a curated record. Lineage: Eukaryota; Metazoa; Chordata; Aves; Passeriformes; Pipridae.
GGUCCUUGUGGAAAAGUGCAGUAACAACAGUAUAAGAAACUCAAUAGAAAACCACAUUUUCUGUUGUUUGAUUCAAAGUUUUGAAAACAUUAUAAUGGCCUUAUAAAAACCAUAAUCUCUUUUACUGCUGCUCUUAAAGCUAACAAGAGGGAGAGGAUGAAAUUACUGUGUAUGCAUUUGCAGUUUUAUUCUCCAGAAACUACUCUGAAGAAAACAUAUAGCGACCAGUGGAAGAGGAUAAUGACAUCACUCUAUAGAAAGAAGAUAAUGGGUCUGGACACAAAAAAAUUCCAGUACAAUUUGGACAGCAGACCCCAUCAGAAUAUCUUGAAAUCUAAAAACCUGACCCAACAAAGCAUUUCUGAACCUGCUGUAUAUUAAGCAGACAAGUAAUCUGAUGUAUUCUACUGGACCUAUUAACACUUGAACAAAAAACUUGAAUUUUUUAUUUUAAUUUUUUUUUUUUUUAAAUAAGGUAUGCCACGUUUCUACAUUAGGCAACAGUUGAUGCAAAGCACCUCUGCUAAGACCCUGGAGGCCAUGGAACCUGACCCUGAAAAGGCAAGUUUAAAUGCAGACAUAUCAAGAGAUAUUUUAAUUGAAUAAUAAAUGCAGAAAAUAUAACACCAAAUUUGGGGAUUUUUUUUUUCUGUUUCAUUAGAAAGAAUGAUAAUACAUUUUUUUUGAAGGUAGGAACUUUUUUUGUUUCGUACAACCUUCCUAUGGUCAAAAUUGGCUUAUGCAAAAGAAGUUAUAAAGUUUGCAUGAAAGCCUGAACUUUUCCAGCCUUCUUAUGCUUGCUUGAGUGACAGAAUGAUAUUAUUCUGAAGGUUGCACAGUGACUCUUUGAUCUUAAAGCUUGUAAAGGCCGUCUCGCAUCUGCGUGUUCUAAUAUUCCCUGAUAAUCUGACUUGAACUUCAAGGCUUAUAAGACCUUGGAUCAGUGAUUUGCAAUUCAAGUGCCUCGGAAA